RNAcentral lists this ribosomal RNA (427 nucleotides) under Macrotermes gilvus. Its description in RNAcentral is "partial 16S ribosomal RNA". The stretch from base 1 to 176 matches the Rfam family "Bacterial large subunit ribosomal RNA", at positions 1797 to 2033 of the family's 2925-position model. The record is from RNAcentral. Lineage: Eukaryota; Metazoa; Arthropoda; Insecta; Blattodea; Termitidae.
CGCCUGUUUAUCAAAAACAUCUUUUCUUGUUAGUUUUUGAAGUAUGGCCUGCCCGCUGAUUUUAGGUUGAAGGGCCGCGGUAUUUUGACCGUGCAAAGGUAGCAUAAUCAUUAGUUCUUUAAUUGUGAUCUGGUAUGAAUGGCUUGACGAGGCAUGGGCUGUCUUGGAUUGGGACUGUUUAUUGAAUUUGGUUUUUGAGUUAGAAUUCUUAAAUGUUUUUGUGGGACGAGAAGACCCUAUAGAGUUUAACAUUUAUUUAUACAGCUGGUUUUGGUUUGUUGUGUAGUUGCUUUGUGUUAAUGUGUUUUGUUGGGGUGAUGGGAAGAAUUUUCUUAACUCUUCUUUAUUUUGGUAUAUUGAUUUGUAUUGGUUUUGAUCCAUUUAUUUUGAUUAUAAGAUUAAAUUACCUUAGGGAUAACAGCGUAAA